CUUUUCACACAGUAAAACCCUGCUUUACUUCCCUUUGAGUCGUCUGUGAGCCUAAAUUUUUGUGGCUGUGGGAAGGACAAGAACCCCAUCUUUAGCUGAAAUAAGGAAAAGUUCCGCAACAUUUUUGGCACACACCCUGGGGGCUCCGGAAGUGAAAGUUCCCAGGAGAUGAAGACAUUGAAACUGCCAUCAUAAAAUUAAUAAAAGGUUCAAGAUUAGAAUUAUGGUAUUGGCCUGGAUUUUGUUAAGACAGAGACAUAGGAAUGCUGUCGGAACUGGACCUUGAUGAAGGAAAUACUUUCUGACUCAUUGGAAUUUGUUAUAGUCAAAGUAAGUAAGGCACAAAUAUUGAAGAUAAACUUGGUACAGU
RNAcentral lists this long non-coding RNA (370 nucleotides) under Homo sapiens (human). RNAcentral describes it as "non-protein coding lnc-KCNMB4-1:24". The record is from RNAcentral. Lineage: Eukaryota; Metazoa; Chordata; Mammalia; Primates; Hominidae.